RNAcentral lists this ribosomal RNA (795 nucleotides) under Gautieria morchelliformis var. dubia. RNAcentral's name for it is "partial large subunit ribosomal RNA". It matches the Rfam family "Eukaryotic large subunit ribosomal RNA", at positions 87 to 864 of the family's 3401-position model. Lineage: Eukaryota; Fungi; Basidiomycota; Agaricomycetes; Gomphales; Gomphaceae. The record is from RNAcentral.
CGGCGAGUGAAGCGGGAUGAGCUCAAAUUUGUAAUCUGGCGGCCUUUGGCUGUCCGAGUUGUAGUCUGGAGAAGCGUUUUCCGCGUCGGACCGUGUACAAGUCCCUUGGAACAGGGCGUCGUAGAGGGUGAGAAUCCCGUCUUUGACACGGACUGCCGAUGCUUUGUGAUGCGCUCUCGAAGAGUCGAGUUGUUUGGGAAUGCAGCUCAAAACGGGUGGUAAAUUCCAUCUAAAGCUAAAUACGGGCGAAAGACCGAUAGCGAACAAGUACCGUGAGGGAAAGAUGAAAAGCACUUUGGAAAGAGAGUUAAACAGUACGUGAAAUUGUUGAAAGGGAAACGCUUGAAGUCAGUCGCGUCUCCUGGGACUCAGCCUUGCUUCUGCUCGGUGUACUUCCUGGGGUUGACGGGCCAGCAUCGAUUUUGACCGUCGGAGAAAGGCCUUGGGAACGUGGCACCCUUUGGGUGUGUUAUAGCCCUCGGUCGUAUGCGACGGUUGGGAUCGAGGACCGCAGCAUGCCUUUUUGGCCGGGGUUCGCCCACGUACGUGCUUAGGAUGCUGGCGUAAUGGCUUUAAGCGACCCGUCUUGAAACACGGACCAAGGAGUCUAACAUGCCUGCGAGUGUUUGGGUGGUAAACCCGGACGCGCAAUGAAAGUGAAACGUUGGGACCUCUGUCGUGGAGGGCACCGACGCCCGGACCAGACCUUUUGUGACGGUUCCGAGGUAGAGCAUGCAUGCUGGGACCCGAAAGAUGGUGAACUAUGCUUGAGUAGGGUGAAGCCAGAGGAAACUC